Molecule: long non-coding RNA, 388 nt
Filed under: Cicer arietinum (chickpea)
Lineage: Eukaryota; Viridiplantae; Streptophyta; Magnoliopsida; Fabales; Fabaceae
Description: long non-coding RNA (CARI_LNC002324)
Source: RNAcentral
CUGAUUAAAAAAUUAAAUAUCGAACAAUAAUCAAUAAAUCAAAAUAGUUAAAGAAAAAGUUUUUUAAACUAAAAUAUUAUCUAAAAACUCGCUAACAUACUCUCUACAAAACAUUAAGUAUAUAUUUUUUUGGUAAUAUUUUAAAAAUUAUUUUUGAUGAUCUGAUGACCUAAUAUGAACUAAAUCACUUACCAUCAAGUUGGGUUGGAAAAUGAGAGAGAUGAUUUGUUGAUUAUGGUGUUGUUUAAUAAAUAUGAUAGUGUGGAAGGAUACCUAGUUUUUAAGAGGGGUAAGGGUCAUUGUUGAUUUGCAUGAAGUUAGUGAAGAGUUAGGUAUGGUUGUGGGCAAUUGGUUUAAGGAUAAUUUGAUUAGAAUGGUGGAAGAUAAG